UACGUAGGGGGCAAGCGUUGUCCGGAUUUAUUGGGCGUAAAGCGCGCGCAGGCGGUCCUUUAAGUCUGAUGUGAAAGCCCACGGCUCAACCGUGGAGGGUCAUUGGAAACUGGAGGACUUGAGUACAGAAGAGGAAAGCGGAAUUCCACGUGUAGCGGUGAAAUGCGUAGAGAUGUGGAGGAACACCAGUGGCGAAGGCGGCUUUCUGGUCUGUAACUGACGCUGAGGCGCGAAAGCGUGGGGAGCAAACAGG
RNAcentral lists this ribosomal RNA (253 nucleotides) under uncultured bacterium. Its description in RNAcentral is "partial 16S ribosomal RNA". It matches the Rfam family "Bacterial small subunit ribosomal RNA", at positions 524 to 776 of the family's 1533-position model. The record is from RNAcentral.